AACGAACGCUGGCGGCAGGCCUAACACAUGCAAGUCGAGCGAGACCUUCGGGUCUAGCGGCGGACGGGUGAGUAACGCGUGGGAACGUGCCCUUUUCUACGGAAUAGCCUCGGGAAACUGAGCGUAAUACCGUAUACGCCCUUUGGGGGAAAGAUUUAUCGGAGAAGGAUCGGCCCGCGUUGGAUUAGGUAGUUGGUGGGGUAAUGGCCUACCAAGCCUACGAUCCAUAGCUGGUUUGAGAGGAUGAUCAGCCACACUGGGACUGAGACACGGCCCAGACUCCUACGGGAGGCAGCAGUGGGGAAUCUUAGACAAUGGGGGCAACCCUGAUCUAGCCAUGCCGCGUGAGUGAUGAAGGCCUUAGGGUUGUAAAGCUCUUUCAGCUGGGAAGAUAAUGACGGUACCAGCAGAAGAAGCCCCGGCUAACUCCG
Molecule: ribosomal RNA, 431 nt
Filed under: uncultured bacterium
Lineage: Bacteria
Description: partial 16S ribosomal RNA
Rfam family: Bacterial small subunit ribosomal RNA
Source: RNAcentral